This 504-nucleotide unclassified non-coding RNA is filed under the name Hevea brasiliensis (rubber tree). The record is from RNAcentral. Lineage: Eukaryota; Viridiplantae; Streptophyta; Magnoliopsida; Malpighiales; Euphorbiaceae.
AAAAAAGUAAUAUUUUUUUUUUUAAUUUCCUAAGAAAAACCAUAAUUUCAAUUGCAUUGUUAUUGUCGAAAUCUAAAAGACUCAACUAGCAAGUGCAAAAGUAGGAAUGAUGCUUUGAUUGAUUCCUUCUUACAGGCAAAUAAUUGAUUAAAAGAACACCGUAUGUUGUUUAUUUUUUACUUGUAAGAGCUCUGCUGUGCAAACCAACUGGUCAAGACUUCGCCCUAACACCACAAAAAUUCACACCCUACAUAAUUCCAUUUGGAUUUUCAUGUCGGUUUCAUCAGGGCUUUCUUCUAAUCGUAAACAACCCACGUCCACCAAAAUGUGAACUAGAUAGUAUAGUUCACAUAUUGCUUGGGUAAAACCAGUACCAAUUUAACCAGAACCAACCGUGUUCGAAAAUUGUUCUUUUCAUGCAUGUUUGAAAUCAGUAAACAAACAUGAUUUGGAUUUUUUCUCCAGUAGCUAAAUAAAAAAGUAUAUAUAUAUAUGUGUGUGUGU